Molecule: ribosomal RNA, 611 nt
Filed under: Salmonella enterica subsp. enterica serovar Infantis
Lineage: Bacteria; Pseudomonadati; Pseudomonadota; Gammaproteobacteria; Enterobacterales; Enterobacteriaceae
Also listed under: 2 other names
Description: partial 23S ribosomal RNA
Rfam family: Bacterial large subunit ribosomal RNA
Source: RNAcentral
AGACCCGAAACCCGGUGAUCUAGCCAUGGGCAGGUUGAAGGUUGGGUAACACUAACUGGAGGACCGAACCGACUAAUGUUGAAAAAUUAGCGGAUGACCUGUGGCUGGGGGUGAAAGGCCAAUCAAACCGGGAGAUAGCUGGUUCUCCCCGAAAGCUAUUUAGGUAGCGCCUCGUGAAUUCAUCUCCGGGGGUAGAGCACUGUUUCGGCUAGGGGGCCAUCCCGGCUUACCAACCCGAUGCAAACUGCGAAUACCGGAGAAUGUUAUCACGGGAGACACACGGCGGGUGCUAACGUCCGUCGUGAAGAGGGAAACAACCCAGACCGCCAGCUAAGGUCCCAAAGUCAUGGUUAAGUGGGAAACGAUGUGGGAAGGCCCAGACAGCCAGGAUGUUGGCUUAGAAGCAGCCAUCAUUUAAAGAAAGCGUAAUAGCUCACUGGUCGAGUCGGCCUGCGCGGAAGAUGUAACGGGGCUAAACCAUGCACCGAAGCUGCGGCAGCGAACGUAUCACUUAAAGCGAUUCAGCGGGUUACGAUUGACGGAGCGAAGCGACGUCAAAGCGUAUACAAAGUCGAGUCGGUUUAAGGAUACGUUCGUUGGGUAGGGGAGCG